Molecule: ribosomal RNA, 251 nt
Filed under: uncultured bacterium
Lineage: Bacteria
Description: partial 16S ribosomal RNA
Rfam family: Bacterial small subunit ribosomal RNA
Source: RNAcentral
UACGUAGGGUGCGAGCGUUGUCCGGAAUUAUUGGGCGUAAAGGGCUCGUAGGCGGUUUGUCGCGUCGGGAGUGAAAACCUUGGGCUUAACUCAGGGCUUGCUUUCGAUACGGGCAGACUAGAGGUAUGCAGGGGAGAACGGAAUUCCUGGUGUAGGUGAAAUGCGCAGAUAUCAGGAGGAACACCGGUGGCGAAGGCGGUUCUCUGGGCAUGAUCUGACGCUGAGGAGCGAAAGUGUGGGGAGCGAACAGG